Molecule: unclassified non-coding RNA, 222 nt
Filed under: plant metagenome
Description: partial contains small subunit ribosomal RNA, internal transcribed spacer 1, and 5.8S ribosomal RNA
Source: RNAcentral
UUUCCGUAGGUGAACCUGCGGAAGGAUCAUUAAAGAGCGCCCCGUUUUUUGAAAUGGGUAAUUCUAAACCGUGUAUACAUACCUUUGUUGCUUUGGCAGGCCGCCCCUCAGGGCGUCGGCUCCGGCUGACUGCGCCUGCCAGAGGACCCAAACUCUUUUGUUUAGUGAUGUCUGAGUACUAUAUAAUAGUUAAAACUUUCAACAACGGAUCUCUUGGUUCUG